GUGUUCACCUCGGCAGCACACAUACUAAAAUUGGAAUGGUACACAGAAGAUUAGAAUGGCCCCUGCAUAAGGAUGACAUGCAAUUUGUGAAGCGUUCCAUAUUUUU
Molecule: small nuclear RNA, 106 nt
Organism: Nycticebus coucang (slow loris)
Lineage: Eukaryota; Metazoa; Chordata; Mammalia; Primates; Lorisidae
Source: RefSeq, a predicted model, not a curated record